This 658-nucleotide ribosomal RNA is filed under the name Nocardia levis. RNAcentral describes it as "bacterial SSU rRNA". It matches the Rfam family "Bacterial small subunit ribosomal RNA", at positions 85 to 757 of the family's 1533-position model. The record is from RNAcentral. Lineage: Bacteria; Bacillati; Actinomycetota; Actinomycetes; Mycobacteriales; Nocardiaceae.
GGGUACACGAGCGGCGAACGGGUGAGUAACACGUGGGUGAUCUGCCUCGCACUUCGGGAUAAGCCUGGGAAACUGGGUCUAAUACCGGAUAUGACCAGGGACUGCAUGGUUUUUGGUGGAAAGAUUUAUCGGUGCGAGAUGGGCCCGCGGCCUAUCAGCUUGUUGGUGGGGUAAUGGCCUACCAAGGCGACGACGGGUAGCCGGCCUGAGAGGGCGACCGGCCACACUGGGACUGAGACACGGCCCAGACUCCUACGGGAGGCAGCAGUGGGGAAUAUUGCACAAUGGGCGAAAGCCUGAUGCAGCGACGCCGCGUGAGGGAUGACGGCCUUCGGGUUGUAAACCUCUUUCGACAGGGACGAAGCGCAAGUGACGGUACCUGUAGAAGAAGCACCGGCCAACUACGUGCCAGCAGCCGCGGUAAUACGUAGGGUGCGAGCGUUGUCCGGAAUUACUGGGCGUAAAGAGCUUGUAGGCGGUUUGUCGCGUCGUCUGUGAAAACUCACAGCUCAACUGUGAGCUUGCAGGCGAUACGGGCAGACUUGAGUACUGCAGGGGAGACUGGAAUUCCUGGUGUAGCGGUGAAAUGCGCAGAUAUCAGGAGGAACACCGGUGGCGAAGGCGGGUCUCUGGGCAGUAACUGACGCUGAGAAGCGAA